RNAcentral lists this ribosomal RNA (467 nucleotides) under uncultured bacterium. RNAcentral describes it as "partial 16S ribosomal RNA". It matches the Rfam family "Bacterial small subunit ribosomal RNA", at positions 28 to 506 of the family's 1533-position model. The record is from RNAcentral.
GACGAACGCUGGCGGCGUGCUUAACACAUGCAAGUCGAACGGAAAGGCCCUGCUUUUGUGGGGUGCUCGAGUGGCGAACGGGUGAGUAACACGUGAGUAACCUGCCCUUGACUUUGGGAUAACUUCAGGAAACUGGGGCUAAUACCGGAUAGGAGCUCCUGCUGCAUGGUGGGGGUUGGAAAGUUUCGGCGGUUGGGGAUGGACUCGCGGCUUGUCAGCUUGUUGGUGGGGUAGUGGCUUACCAAGGCUUUGACGGGUAGCCGGCCUGAGGGGGUGACCGGGCAAGAUAGGGAGAGGACAGCGACAGGACUAGGAGGGGAAGAAGGGAGGGGAAAAAUAAAAAAAAGGGGGGAGGCACGAUCCAAGAAGCCGGGGAGGGGGAGAAGGGCCUGCGGGUUGGAAACGACUUUGCCCUGAAAGAAAGGGGGGGGGACGGAAAGGGUAAAAAAAGCAACGAAUAACUAUUA